UGUACCCACCAGGGCUCGAACCUGGGACCUUCCGCGUGUUAGGCGGAUGUGAUAACCACUACACCAUGGGUAC
This 73-nucleotide transfer RNA is filed under the name Araneus ventricosus. Its description in RNAcentral is "tRNA-Val". Lineage: Eukaryota; Metazoa; Arthropoda; Arachnida; Araneae; Araneidae. The record is from RNAcentral.